RNAcentral lists this non-coding RNA (24 nucleotides) under Mus musculus (house mouse). Lineage: Eukaryota; Metazoa; Chordata; Mammalia; Rodentia; Muridae. The record is from RNAcentral.
UGGCAGCAUCUGAGCCCAGCUGAG